Molecule: ribosomal RNA, 491 nt
Filed under: uncultured bacterium
Lineage: Bacteria
Description: partial 16S ribosomal RNA
Rfam family: Bacterial small subunit ribosomal RNA
Source: RNAcentral
AGUGAACGCUGGCGGUAGGCCUAACACAUGCAAGUCGAACGGCAGCACAGUAAGAGCUUGCUCUUACGGGUGGCGAGUGGCGGACGGGUGAGGAAUACAUCGGAAUCUACUUUUUCGUGGGGGAUAACGUAGGGAAACUUACGCUAAUACCGCAUACGACCUACGGGUGAAAGCAGGGGUUCUUCGGACCUUGCGCGAUUGAAUGAGCCGAUGUCGGAUUAGCUAGUUGGCGGGGUAAAGGCCCACCAAGGCGACGAUCCGUAGCUGGUCUGAGAGGAUGGUCAGCCACACUGGAACUGAGACACGGUCAGACUCCUACGGGAGGCAGCAGUGGGGAAUAUUGGACAAUGGGCGCAAGCCUGAUCCAGCCAUACCGCGUGGGUGAAGAAGGCCUUCGGGUUGUAAAGCCCUUUUGUUGGGAAAGAAAAGCAGCAGGUUAAUACCCCGCUGUUCUGACGGUACCCAAAGAAUAAGCACCGGCUAACUUCGUG